CAUCUAAAUACUUGUAAGGAUCUUCAUUGAUGUUCUCAUAGAAAGAUGGGAGCAUCUAGAUUGUGGUUGACUUGAUCUCAUAAUGGCUUGUAGGAAUAUUAGAUAAGUAGAUAUAAGUUGAUGGAUUAUAGGUGGAAGGAAUAAAAUAUUUUUUCAUCUGCUUAGGUGGUUCUCUAGGAUUUUCAGCCAUUUGAUUGUUAGGUUUAACAUUGAUCAGUCAUUCAAUUUCAGGAUUAGAUUCAACUAGGUCAAAAAAAAGAGAUCUCCUACUGUGCAUGUAUCAGUGCAAAUCCUACUGUGUGUGGUUCAGAUUUUUUUUGAAGGAAGAGAGAGA
RNAcentral lists this long non-coding RNA (334 nucleotides) under Elaeis guineensis (African oil palm). RNAcentral's name for it is "long non-coding RNA (EGUI_LNC011957)". Lineage: Eukaryota; Viridiplantae; Streptophyta; Magnoliopsida; Arecales; Arecaceae. The record is from RNAcentral.